UAAGAAUUUUAGAGGAUGUCAAGGGAUGC
Molecule: non-coding RNA, 29 nt
Filed under: Rattus norvegicus (Norway rat)
Lineage: Eukaryota; Metazoa; Chordata; Mammalia; Rodentia; Muridae
Source: RNAcentral